GGAGAGGUGGCGGAAUUGGUAGACGCGCUACUUUGAGGUGGUAGUGACAGAAAUGUUGUGGGAGUUCGAGUCUCCUCCUCUUCAC
Molecule: transfer RNA, 85 nt
Filed under: Bacteroides ovatus
Lineage: Bacteria; Pseudomonadati; Bacteroidota; Bacteroidia; Bacteroidales; Bacteroidaceae
Also listed under: 3 other names
Description: tRNA-Leu(gag)
Rfam family: tRNA
About the family: Transfer RNA (tRNA) molecules are approximately 80 nucleotides in length. Their secondary structure includes four short double-helical elements and three loops (D, anti-codon, and T loops).
Source: RNAcentral